AGCGGGAUGGGGCAGUCAGGAGUGCCCGUCGGGCUCAUAGGACUUUCCUGGGAUACCCGGAGAAAAACAUGUAAAUGUUUUUCGGGUAAAGGUCGGAAGUUCAAAUCUUCCUCCCGCUA
RNAcentral lists this transfer RNA (119 nucleotides) under Candidatus Woesearchaeota archaeon. RNAcentral describes it as "tRNA-Met". Lineage: Archaea; Nanobdellati; Candidatus Woesearchaeota. The record is from RNAcentral.